RNAcentral lists this unclassified non-coding RNA (376 nucleotides) under soil metagenome. RNAcentral's name for it is "partial contains 5.8S ribosomal RNA, internal transcribed spacer 2, and large subunit ribosomal RNA". The stretch from base 1 to 120 matches the Rfam family "5.8S ribosomal RNA", at positions 35 to 154 of the family's 154-position model. The record is from RNAcentral.
GAUGAAGAACGCAGCGAAAUGCGAUACGUAAUGUGAAUUGCAGAAUUCAGUGAAUCAUCGAAUCUUUGAACGCAUCUUGCGCUCCUUGGUAUUCUGAGGAGCAUGCCUGUUUGAGUGUCAUUAAAUUCUCAACUACACUGACUUUGAAUUGGUGUGGCUUGGAUUUGGGGGGAAAAUUGUUGUGGGCUUUUUGUAUAGUCUGCUCCCCUGAAAUUGAUUAGCGGUACCUUUGUGGAACUGUCUACAGGUGUGAUAAUUAUCUACAUCUUAGACAUCUGCUGGAAUGCUGCUUUCUAAACCUUACUUGUAUUGACAAUCUUGACCUCAAAUCAGGUAGGACUACCCGCUGAACUUAAGCAUAUCAAUAAGCGGAGGA